AAUUAACCAAAGAUAGCUGGUAGACAUGCAGAUGGACUGGUUAACCCAUUCAAAUACCAAAAUCAAAGUCCAAUACUUUCCCCUUGACGAGAAAAAAUUCUGGCAUUAAACAGCUUAAAAUAACAAAGUAGGGCAAACUGAGGCACAUUGCAGCUUAACUUGCUCCAACUCUAUCAUUACAAACUGUAAAUCUUUAAUAGUAAAAUUCAUAUCCAGACACAAAAUUUGGUUACAAUUCAAUAAUUUGAAAAGUGCUGUUGCAUCCCUAACCUACUAAACUGCUUGCAAAUAUUAAAGGAAAGCUAUAAGGGCAGUUAAAAAAUAUAACAAGGAUUUGGUUUAUAAAUUGUUAAUUUCUAGAGAUGAUAACACAAUACAAACAUGGAAUUCACUAUAUUCAUAUUUUUAAUGAUAUGUUUUAUAAGUCUAAAUUCCUUUUAAUAUUCCUCUGAUAUACAAAUCUUCUGAAAACUUUAAUAUUAUCAAGGUUUAUAAACGACUUAAUAUUAGAAUUGAGACUCUUCAGGUAUUUUAAUACUACAGUAGCAAUUAAUACACAGUACAUUGUAAUUGUUUUUGUUCUUGAAAAUUGCCCUUUCCACGCGCUCUUUCAACCAUUAGAAACAUAAUAGCGUUAAACGGCUAAAUUAUGCUGGAGGAACCACAAAUGUCUCUACAUUUAAAGCUUUUUCAAACUGACACAGAGGUGAAUGGACAAGAUUACAAUUAAUUGUGACAUUUUUCUUCGACAACAGCACUCUUCGCGGCUCCUGCCGGCUCUAUACUGACCCUGUUUCACACGCAAUAUUUUCCUUAUUCAGUCGCUAACACACCUUUUGUAUCCCACUAUGAAGAACAUCAACAUUUCCACCAAAACCCCGAAAAAAUAAUCAUUUUAUAGACGAAACAAUAAAAUAUUUCAAACAAUUUGUUUUGCUUUUGGCAACGCAUGCGCAGUUCGGUCGACAUACAGUUUUCUGUAUGUCUGAGAUGGAUUAUCCCAGAGCCUUCGUUUCCUUCCCAAGGAUCGCAGGCUCGGGGAACGAGAUUGGU
Molecule: long non-coding RNA, 1053 nt
Filed under: Paramuricea clavata
Lineage: Eukaryota; Metazoa; Cnidaria; Anthozoa; Malacalcyonacea; Plexauridae
Source: RNAcentral